Cyprinus carpio carpio is the source of this 4454-nucleotide long non-coding RNA. Lineage: Eukaryota; Metazoa; Chordata; Actinopteri; Cypriniformes; Cyprinidae. The record is from Ensembl.
CUAUUUCAUUAUCAAUGCAUUUGUUGAAACAAAACUGCAGCUUUAAUUGGGUUCUAUUGCCUUAAAAGAUAACACUUCAAAAUAUAAUUUAUUCGAGAGAGAGAGAGAGAAACAAACAAAAAAAAAAGUUUCCCAACAGUUUCCUCAAAUAAAACUUAUGUGAAGUUUAUUUUUUAGGCAGGCAUCUUUUAGACAGACACUUUGCAUUUUGUCAAAGCUUUUCAUUAUUCUAAUCUGCUAGCAAUAAAGCUAAUAGCUAAUAAUUGAGCUGGAGUAUUUUUUUUUUUUUCUUCAAAAUGCGAUGCUAAGAUUGAAAUAUGAGAUGAAAAAGGCCUGGCUUUAUCUGACAAACUUGUAAGGUCAGUCUGAUGGCGACGCUAAACCAAUAACAGGCCGCGUGUGAGCGGUUCCUCGCGAGACAUUUCCUCACGUGACACGAGCUGACACGGCGGCGCGCCCAAGCAAUUUUCCCUUCACUUGUUCGCCAGUUACGGCUGGCCACUGACGACAGGGGCAGAGGGAGACAAGACCUGGUAUUUGCAGCUGUUUGCUUCACUUCACGCCGGCUGACAGGAAGCUGUUUUUGGCAGUGUUACAGGGGCCCAUCUUGAGCAGUUAUGCCUGACUGCAGCUCUGCUGGAUCAAGCAGCUUCUCAUUAGCCAACUGUCGCAGGAGGUUCUGAUGUCCAUCCAGUCGCCGCCGGUGUUCACGGGGUCGUGGCGGGAAAUUCUGCGUCCUUGUUUGCAUCGGAGAACGAAUGGAAUGUUGAAACUCUUAGUAGCUGUUUGGACUCUCAUUCUGACGGCACCCAUUCACUGCAGAGGAUUCAUUAGUGGGCAAGUGAUGGAGUGCUACAUUUUUCCAAAUCUUAUGAAGAAACAAACUCAUCUGCAUCUUGGAUGGCCUGAGGUGCAUGACUCGAACCCGGAACUGAACAUAACUCUCAGCAUGAGUCCAGCCCGCAGGAGGAGGAAAUAAGACGUGACACCAAUAUAACUGACAAAACGGAUGCACACUCCAUAAUGCACCAGCAGGACACUGAAACAACCACUGAUUUUGUUUCCCAAGGCAUUAAGAAAGGCUUUAAAUAACUAAUUUAGACAUAUGGAUGACAUCACUGCUUUAUGCAUAUUCUACAUUACAUUACACAUGUGCAGCACAAUAAGAAAGAAAGAAAGAAAGAAAGAAAAGCUUCCUCUUGUCACUUCCCCCCCCCCCCCCUUUAUGUUAUCCAGGCCUGUGUGUCUGCCCACCUGUAUUUUGUGGGCACAGAUUGGGGCAGCAGACGUCCAUGCGGGUAUUCAGAUUUGUGCACAAAGCCUGGUGAACAGGAAGUUGGAGGGACUUGCAUCAGGGCCCACCUGCUCUCUACAGCUGGCUGCCUGACAGCUGGAAAUUGACUCUACUGAGAUUGGUACCUGUGUCUCAGACUCAGCACUGCACACAGCCUGACUAGUGCAUUAAUGCAAUUAAUUUAGCCGGCAAUCUAAAAGCCAAAGAUGGAGAGGGAGAUAGAGAGAUGCCAAUAAAGUCAUGCCAUCAACACUAUCAUACAGUAAUGCCAACACAGCAUUUUGAAUGGAAAGAGAGAGAGCCUGAGCCAUAUCCAGUCCCCUAAUACUGUAUAUUUAAUAUUUGCAAAAAAAAAAAAAUAUGUAUUUUUUUUUCAUCAGCUAUGAGGCGUUUGUGUGUGUGUGUGUGAGAGAGAGAGAAUUAAUGACUCUCUUUUUUUUUUUAACAAUCAGUAUUUUUAUUUGAUUUUGUUUUGUGUCUGCACAUGCUUAAAAAGAUAUUACACGUUAUUUAACCACCUAAAUCAGAGAUGGCAACUUUUCAUCUUUCAACUGUUAUUAAAAAACGUUUUCAUGUUUGUUUAGAAUCAUGUCACAUUUGCUUACCUAUUAUUAUUAUUAUUAUUAUUAUUAUUAUUAUUAUGAAUUAUCAUUUAGGAAUUAAAGGCUUUUGGGUAUAUUUUUGUAAAAAAAAAAAAAAAAGAUUUCAAUCUAGGCUAUAGGCUACAAAUAGGAAAAUGUUGAAGGUGUGACCCAAGUCUUAUCUAGGCACUCUCAUCAUAAAGACUUGGCCAUGGGCUCUUUUUAACUUGGGUCGAUAAGUAACUGCCUAGCAACAUCCUAGCAACCCAAAACCUAAAAUACCUUGGCAAUGCUGCAAACUGACUCCAACAUUAUGGUGGCAAGCUCUUGUUGGCCAAACACCAUGUUUUCUACACAAAAUUUAAAAAGUAAAUUUUAUUUAUUAACAUUACAGUCUGCACUACUGUUGUUUCACUGCUUGUGUACUGCACUGGCUAAACAAAUGUGCCGUUUUGGCGUGCCAACAAGCAGAGUAAAUUAAAAAUCCUUGAGAGAGACUAAAAUGUAUUCUCUCUUCCUGUUCCUCCCAGACAUGAGCACAUCCUCUCAGACUGAGCUGCUCUGAUUCGAGCAGAGAGAUGGUACAGGAUUGAUUAGACUCCAGAGAGAGAGAGAGAGAGCAAGGUUUGAUGUGUGAGGAUGUGAGCGAGGCUCUCAGCAGGCCUAAGUGCUGAGAGUCAGGAGUCUGCAGGCAGAUAGAUGCUGAAUCAGCUCUCUUCACCUGACCACAGAGACACUGAGUCUGACACCAGCAGCCAACGGCCCAUAAAGACGUGCAGUGUGUUCACAAACAACAUUACAAUAAUACUUUAGCUGAACACUGGGCUGUGGAAGGACCAAAAGAGGAACACCUGAGUACAGGGAAACAACAGCAAUGAUCGAUCAUGAAAAAUGUGACUUGAUUUCACCUUUAAGCAUUAUGCAUUAAAAAAUCAGUGUACAGUAAAAAAUCAGUGUACAGUGUAAGGAUCAUCGCCUUCCAUUGUCACUUUCAUCACAAAAGUGCGGAUGCAGAAGAUCGUGAGGGAUUAGGGUUUGAUUUGAGACAGGGCCAUAAAAUUCUCCAAAGCAUUUGAUUAAAUUUCAUAUUUGAAAUCACCCAUCAAAUAUGACAACAACUGUCUCAUAAAUGUUGUUUCUUAUGCUCAAAUAGCAUUCAAAAUGUUGUUUCAGGCUAGUCUUUGGCAAUACCAAAUAUUAUACAGCCUUUUUAUUCUUCAGAAUACUCUUGAUGCAAAUAGGAUUAUCCUUUGAUGAAAUAAAACCAUUUCAAAUACAUUUUGAAACAUGGUUAAUAAUCAAUGAGGAGUCUUUUUUUUUUUUUUUAUUGAAUAAAUCUUUCAGUUUCACUGGGUUAAAAGAUAAAAAGGUCCAAAUAAAGUUUUAUCAUUAAAGGCAAGACUAAAACCAUUUUUUUUAUUUUCAGGGUCAAUUUUGAGAUUUUUUAUUUUUUUUUUAAGUAGUGGAAAUUAAAUAUUUUUCAUUACACUUCAACUGUUUGCAUUGUAGAUUUCAAUUACAAAUCACAUUUUUCACUGUAUUUUUUUUUCUUCUCAUGCACUGUGCCAGAAAUCUCCAUCCAAAAUAUUUUAUUCCUAUAAUAUGAUUGAUUGAUUGAUUGACUGACUGACUGACUGACUGACUUAUUAACACUAAUUUCGACAAUUGGAGCCAAGUCACCAUUAUCUUUCAUGCCACAACCAGAAACAACCAUGGACACAGUGGGCAGAAAAAAAACUAACAAACAAAAAACUAUAAAUAAUGAGGCUUGAUAACUCAUCGUUUUAUAUUGUGGCUGUAUUUGUUCACGGUCUUGAGAUGCUUGAUAAAAUCUUAACAACAUCAUCAUGGUCCAGGAGUUUGAAAGAAGAAUGUGAGCCUAGAAGCAGAGCAUGUGUAAUCAGGGUUCUGGUGGCAUGAGGGGCCCAAGGGGCCCGGACUCAAUCAGGACUGAGCCUGAUGGACUAUCGAGAGGACACAGUGAGCAAUCUCAUCUUGUCAUCUACUGAAGAGUGAAGACACUACUAAAGCCUUCUCUGGACUGCACAAGAACACACUGUAAACUCUCGAGAAUGUGCAGAUACAUUUAUACACUACAGAUCAUAUACUUUUAUUGAUUCAAUUAUUAAUGUUAUAUUUUUUUCAUUAUUAUUAUAAUACUUUUAUUAUUUUUCUUUUUUUAUUAUUAUUAUUGAAAUCGGUCUGAUCUGGACUGUUGUUAUAUUUUUGUACUGUGUAUGUACUAAAUAUACAAAACAAAUAUCCACAUUUUCACUUACAACUUAAAAUUUAAUAACAUAAAUAAGUACACACACACACACACACACAUAUAUAUAUAUAUAUAUAUAUAUAUAUAUAUAAACAAACAAAAAAAUAAAAACAAUAAGUUGUGCACUGUAAAUUGUCAAUGUAUUGUUGAAAUGUAAAUGUAUCUUUAUUAUUAUUUUUAUUAUAAUUAUUAUUGGUAUUAUUGUCUUAAAUUGGACUGAUAUGUUUUAAUAUAUAUAUAUAUAUAUAUAUAUAUAUAUAUAUAUAUAUAUAUAUAUAUAUAUAUAUAUAUAUAUAUAUAUGUAUAAAAU